CAUAAAAUGUGAGCACAUAUUUGGCAUCUAUAUAUUAAAAAAGAAACUGGUUUGCGAUGCACAUUUUGUGUCUUAACACCCAUACUAAAUGUAAGAAGUAAAUCAUAUGCCAGACCACAUCAGAAAAACAGUGUGGGUGACAACCUUGCUAAAUUUCCUCUGUACUGGCUGUUGGACCACUUCCGAUGUGUCAGGCUCAUUUAAGCUGUUAAACUCAAUCUAAAACCUUUUGCUGAGAGGAUGAGUUUGUGAUCUGCUUCUUUUAUGAGCAGUAAUGGUACAGCCAUUACUGGUUUCUAUUUCUGCUUGGACAGGAAUUUCUCCAAUAUAAAACAGAAAGGCUUCAUUUUCAUCUUUUUACUUGUAUGGGACUUCUCUACUUUCUCAGGAAACAUGACUGUUAAUAUAAAUCAGCAACGUGAUAUUUUGCCAGUCACAACACAACUUAAUAUUUCGCUGGGAUGUCGAGCUGUGAUACCGUGUCAGCAUUGCAGCCAUCAUUUAGACUCUUUCAAAUGGUUUUACAAGGACCAUAGUAGUAAGCAGGUUCAGUUAUUCUUCCAAGAUAAGAGUGGAGUGCAAUAUCAUCAAAUGUCAAAUCCCAAAUUGAAAAUUGGAUCCAAUCGUUCCUUGGUCAUCAGUUCUUUUACUGAGGAUGAUGAAGGUGUGUACUGGUUGAAACUUGCCAAGAAACAUGCCAAAAGUCCACUGACAUCAUAGUGAAGAAAGAGACGUGGAAAGAAGUCAGUAAGACAGUUUAGUUUACAUUAUUGCCGGCAGGAGUUUUUAUCACACAUGUUCAAGUAAACUUGAUAAAAUAAAAUGGACUUUUGAACCAACGACUGCUCUCGGGAAAUCAGAAGUAAGAGCAACAACAGAGAAUUUGACUUUCAACAAGUCUAUAUAUAUUGGAAAUGUCAGAAGAGAAGAUGCUGGGAAAUACACCUGCUGGAUGAGUACCUGUGUCGGACACAGUAUUAAGCUAGUCACUAUCAAUUUGUGUGUAGUCACAGUAUAUGACAGUAAGGAUUCAUCUGCAUCUUGUGCUGUGACGUGCGGCAUGAAAUCCAAUAAUCCAAACAGAACUUCAACUACAUCUGUGCAUGUACAUUCAGACGGGUCCCUAAAGUGCAAUAUAGAUUCAGUGUUUGAUGGAUACACUACAUUCACUACCAGUCAAACUUCAUUAAAUGCAUUUAGCACAACAACAGGUUUUGAAAAAGAGCCUGAAGACUGGAUCCCACUUAUUUGUGGUAUAUCAGUAUCACGUGUCAUUUUAAUGGCACUUAUUUUUUGCUCCAGAUCAAGGUUACAUUCAGCAUUUCCUGUUCAAAUUUGUUGCUGUGGCUUGAAUAGCAGGGUGGAAGAGGAGUCUUCAGUGGUUUAUUUAUCAGUUAUCAUCCGGACACCUGGCAAAAGAAUUAAUCACAUGGCCUCUAGUGAUUGUGUUUAUUGUGAAAUAAAAGUAUAGAGAAAAAAAAAGU
Oreochromis aureus is the source of this 1484-nucleotide long non-coding RNA. RefSeq lists it as uncharacterized. The record is from RefSeq and is a predicted model, not a curated record. NCBI's taxonomy places the organism in Eukaryota, Metazoa, Chordata, Actinopteri, Cichliformes, Cichlidae. The transcript has 7 exons.